CUUUCUAUAAAUCUAUCCUAUGUAAAAAUUAAAAUUGAAUUGAAUUUGUAGUGAGUUUUUGAUUAGAAAGAGGUUCACUGCAUUAGCAGUUUUGUGUACCCAUGUUUGGAAAGGCAUUUCUUAGUGCCUAGUGACAAUUUAAUACUGGAAAUUUAGGGGUACAAGCACCUUGGAGUUGAGGUUGUAGUGGUGUAAAAUUCAAUGCAAUUGAAUCAGAAUUGAAUUUGUGGCGAUGUUUGGAGUGGAGAGAAGUUGCUGCCUUAAGUGGAAUACAAUUGAGGUGAGUAAUUUCUAAUUCUUCAAUCAUUUAUAUUUUUGAUUUUAUGUUAGAUUUUUUAAUUUUGUAUUUAAAAGUUUUUAUUUCUUAAUAAUAUUAAAUUAUAGUAAAAAUAAAAAGAAAAAGAAAAAGAAAAAGAAAAAAUAUAUAUAUAUUAAUAUAUAUAUAUAUAUAUUAAUAUUAAAUUAAAUUAAAUAUAAAAUAAUAAUAAUAAGAAUUAAAAAAUAUUAAUAAUAAUCAUAAUAAAAAUAUUGAAUUAAAUUAAUUAUUAAAUUAAUUAUUAAAUUAAUAAAAAAUAAAUUUAAUUAGUAAUUUUAAUAUAUUUUUGACUUUUAUUUUGACUUUUAUUUUGACUUUUAUUUUAUUUUAUUUUUCUUUUAUUUUAUUUUAAUUUUUUCAUGUAUGAUAAGUUUUUGUAUUGAAGUAAGUUUAAUAUAUUUUUUUAUUUAUUCAUGGAUUGAGUGUUAUGCAUAUUGUUAUUUUUAACCUUAAAUAAUAGUUGAAUAUUUUACUGUUAGUAUGCGCAUUACUUGGUGGUUUUUUUAAGUUAGUUGUCACUUUCAAAAGCAUAAAGAGUAGAGCUCGUCUUCGAGGUUUCAUCACUCCCUCUCCUUUUAAUUUUUCUAGUAGAGAGCCCAUCUCCAGUAAGUAGAGGGAUUUAAUCACCCUCUCCACCCCUCGUAUCUUCUCUUUUCAUCUAUUUGUAAAUUCCUUGUUGGCAGUAAUUUUCUAUAGGAAGAGAGAUUUAAUCACCCUCUCCAACCGCUAUAUCCCUUUUAUUCACAGGAAUAGUAUAGAAGAAGCUUAAGAAGAAUUUAAGUGAAUGCUUCAUCAACAAAAGAAGAAGAACAAAUUCAAGAAGAAGAAAUAGGUAGAAAAGUUAGAUAGAAGGAAUUGAAAAAAAAAAAAAUGAAAAGAAGAAAAGAAGAAAAAACAAGAUCAACAAGUUCAAAUCAUAAUCUAAGGUGAAUAUUUUCUUAAAUAAAUUUAUUGAGUUUUAUUUUAUUUUGCUAAUACAAAUUGUGAUUUGAAGAGAAGGACGACAAAAGAAAGAAGGAAAGCAUUAAUAGCUUGCAAACAAGUAAGUCCUUAACCUUGCCAAUUAUUUUUUUUUUGAAAUUUUAGAAAAUUGCUUGAAUACAAG
RNAcentral lists this long non-coding RNA (1421 nucleotides) under Physcomitrium patens. RNAcentral describes it as "long non-coding RNA (PPAT_LNC005865)". Lineage: Eukaryota; Viridiplantae; Streptophyta; Bryopsida; Funariales; Funariaceae. The record is from RNAcentral.